CCGUUGACAUCCAGAGACUUAGCAGAGAUGCUUUGGUGCCUUCGGGAACUCUGAGACAGGUGCUGCAUGGCUGUCGUCAGCUCGUGUUGUGAAAUGUUGGGUUAAGUCCGCAACGAGCGCAACCCUUAUCCUUUGUUGCCAGCGGUUCGGCCGGGAACUCAAAGGAGACUGCCGGUGAUAAACCGGAGGAAGGUGGGGAUGACGUCAAGUCAUCAUGGCCCUUACGGCCAGGGCUACACACGUGCUACAAUGGCGCAUACAAAGAGAAGCGACCUCGCGAGAGCAAGCGGACCUCAUAAAGUGCGUCGUAGUCCGGAUUGGAGUCUGCAACUCGACUCCAUGAAGUCGGAAUCGCUAGUAAUCGUAGAUCAGAAUGCUACGGUGAAUACGUUCCCGGGCCUUGUACACACCGCCCGUCACACCAUGGGAGUGGGUUGCAAAAGAAGUAGGUAGCUUAACCUUCGGGAGGGCGCUUACCACUUUGUGAUUCAUGACUGGGGUGAAGUCGUAACAAGGUAAGCGUACGUGU
Molecule: ribosomal RNA, 529 nt
Filed under: uncultured bacterium
Lineage: Bacteria
Description: bacterial SSU rRNA
Rfam family: Bacterial small subunit ribosomal RNA
Source: RNAcentral